Long non-coding RNA from Cannabis sativa, 774 nucleotides. RefSeq lists it as uncharacterized. The record is from RefSeq and is a predicted model, not a curated record. Lineage: Eukaryota; Viridiplantae; Streptophyta; Magnoliopsida; Rosales; Cannabaceae. The transcript is spliced from 4 exons.
UGGGUUUCUUUCAGAUGUUUAUUCUGUAGCUGCUGAUGAAGUUGGGAAAAUUUUUGUUAUUGCUGAUGAAAGGGCAGAUCUUAGCAAACCAGAGACAAUUCCUGUAACGUUGGUUGGCAUUCACACUGUUAUUGAUUGUGCCACAGGGCGCCCAGAAGAGCUUAUAAAGACGGUCAUUAAUCAUAUUUAGAGAAUGUCUUCAUCUGAUUUUGAAUCUCCGAAGAAAACAUCUAAAAAUACGCAAUCCCCUUCUUCUACUCGUGGUGUGAAAAGAAAGUGCAUUGGUGAAACAUCUAAAUGGAACAAGUGACUGUGGUGCAUUUGUGAUUGCUUUUGCUGAUCACAUAAUUCAUGACACCAUAAAUGGCAUAUCUCCUAAACUCAACAUUGCCAAUUAUCGUGAUGACCUUGUUGUUUGUCUUUACCAUCAUGCUAAAAAGAAGCAAGAGGAUGGGUACAAGACUGAUGUAGAGGAACCUGAAAAGCCUGAGAAAACGAAGAAGAAGACUGAUGUAGAGGAACCUGAAAAGCCCGAGAAGGAAAAGAAGAAGACUGAUGCAGAGGCACCUGAAAAGACUGAGAAGAAGAAAAAGAAGGAUGUUGAAGAGGCACCUAGAAAACUUGAGAAGAAGAAAAGGAAGGUUGUUCAAGAGGCACCUGAAAAACCCGAGAAGAAAAAGAUGUAGUAGUUUUAUAUUUUUUGUGUGAACAUAAAUUGAGUUCUUAUUCUUAAUGUCUCAGGCAGGCUCUUUGAGAUUUCAUACUUUGUUUCAA